GCCUCGGCCCUCAUAGGACAGAAAAUUAGGUGGGUGGAGAAAACAGAAGAGAAUUCUGGGAGAAAGAAGCUUAGUGAGUGAGUCGCCAUGAUUCUCCCGCUCCAGACAGACGCAGGUUAAGAUCCUCCCUGCUCAAGGAAUGUUGUAGAAGAGCAGCUGGAAAGAAUGUAAGAGCUGGGGAGUUGCAAGGAAUGCUGUGAAAUAUUGUCCUUUGAACCUGCUGUGGCCAUUGGACUUAUGAACUCACAACAGUGAUUGUUACCUGCACAAGACCAGCACCAGACUGGCUUCAGCAACAUUCCAUCACACAUAGGAAAGGGUCCCAUGAGGUCCUACCUCUUAUAAAGAUAUUAAAUUGAGAUAAAUAAAGAACCUUCAUCUGGAGAUGGAUGGAGAUAGAGACAGAGACCCACACUGGAGCACUGGACUGAGCUCCCAAUGUCCCAAGGAGGAGCAGAAGGAGGGAAAAUAUGAGCAAAGAAGUCAG
Molecule: long non-coding RNA, 487 nt
Organism: Alexandromys fortis (reed vole)
Lineage: Eukaryota; Metazoa; Chordata; Mammalia; Rodentia; Cricetidae
Exons: 3
Source: RefSeq, a predicted model, not a curated record